RNAcentral lists this ribosomal RNA (575 nucleotides) under Enteles vigorsii. RNAcentral describes it as "partial 16S ribosomal RNA". It matches the Rfam family "Bacterial large subunit ribosomal RNA", at positions 1796 to 2643 of the family's 2925-position model. Lineage: Eukaryota; Metazoa; Arthropoda; Insecta; Coleoptera; Curculionidae. The record is from RNAcentral.
CCGCCUGUUAUUAAAAACAUGGCCUAUUGAUUAUGAUUUUAGGUCUGGCCUGCCCAAUGAUUUUUAUUUAAUGGCCGCGGUAAUUUGACCGUGCAAAGGUAGCAUAAUCAUUAGUUUCUUAAUUGGAAGCUUGUAUGAAAGGUUUGAUGAGAAAAUAGCUGUCUCUAUUUAAAUUUUUUAAAAUUUUAUUUUUAAGUUAAAAAGCUUAAAUUUUAAUAGAAGACGAGAAGACCCUAUAGAGUUUAAUAAAUUUAUUGUUAAAUAAUAUUUUAGUAUUUUUAAGUUUGUUGAUAAAUUUAUUUAGUUGGGGUGAUUGAAAAAUUUAUUUAACUUUUUUUGUAUUAGAUCAUUGAUUGAUGAGUAUUUGAUCCUUUUUUAAAGAUUAAAAGAUAAAAUUACCUUAGGGAUAACAGCGUUAUUUUUUUUUAGAGUUCUAAUCGAAAGAAAAGAUUGCGACCUCGAUGUUGGAUUAAAAGAAAUUAUUGGUGUAGAAGCUAAUAAAUUAGGUCUGUUCGACCUUUAAAAUUUUACAUGAUCUGAGUUUAAACCGGUGUGAGCCAGGUCGGUUUCUAUCU